CCUACGGGUGGCAGCAGUGAGGAAUAUUGGUCAAUGGUCGGGAGACUGAACCAGCCAAGCCGCGUGAGGGAUGAAGGUACAGAGUAUCGUAAACCUCUUUUGUCAGGGAACAAAGGCGGGGACGCGUCCCCGGAUGAGUGUACCUGAAGAACAAGCAUCGGCUAACUCCGUGCCAGCAGCCGCGGUAAUACGGAGGAUGCUAGCGUUAUCCGGAUUUAUUGGGUUUAAGGGGUGCGCAGGUGGUCUGUUAAGUCAGCGGUCAAAGCCCGGGGCUCAACCCCGGCCCGCCGUUGAAACUGGCAGGCUCGAGUGGGAGAGAGGUAUGCGGAAUGCGGGGUGUAGCGGUGAAAUGCAUAGAUAUCGCGCAGAACUCCGAUUGCGAAGGCAGCAUGCCGGCUCCAAACUGACGCUGAGGCACGAAAGCGUGGGUAUCGAACAGGAUUAGAUACCCGUGUAGUC
Molecule: ribosomal RNA, 459 nt
Filed under: uncultured bacterium
Lineage: Bacteria
Description: partial 16S ribosomal RNA
Rfam family: Bacterial small subunit ribosomal RNA
Source: RNAcentral